This is a long non-coding RNA of Leopardus geoffroyi (Geoffroy's cat), 758 nucleotides long. RefSeq lists it as uncharacterized. The record is from RefSeq and is a predicted model, not a curated record. Lineage: Eukaryota; Metazoa; Chordata; Mammalia; Carnivora; Felidae. The transcript is spliced from 3 exons.
CUCUGUUUAUCUGUGAAUAUGAUAUACAGGACUUCAACUGAACACCAGGGAUGAAUGCCAAUGACUAUAGAGAUGGCUAUUAUUAGGAGUUUGGCAGUUUUACUCAAAGUUGAAACACUGGCUCUCUGGAAAGUCUGAUUACACCAAAGAUCACCUGGCUGAUUGGCAAUGCUAAGUAGCUCUGUGAUUUUAGGAACUCCUGAGUAUUGAGCUCGUUAUCUGAAAGGAAUCUCUGGACAUUGUUCUCAUAUAAUUUGUGACUUUUAGACUGAAAGCCUUUUCACUCCAGGGUGUUGGUGUUACUUAGAUGUCUUUCCUGUAUUCCAGGGGCCAUGAAGACAGAGGUGGCAAAAAUUCAUGGAUGGAGUCAGUCCUGUGAGUUGUAUUUGAGGACCAUGAUUGGUUGGCAGGAUUAUGACACUCAACUAUCUCAUACUGUGUUUUGUCCAGAGACCUAGGAAAAGCCACUUCAUAUGAGAAAAAAAAGCAGAAAACAACUAGCCAACCAACAAGAACAAAAACAUUCAGAAGAAGAGGAGCAUGACUCAGCCCUGAUUUCGGAAGCUUUUAUUCUGCUGGGCAUUGGCAGCGUCUCAACGGCAUCGGCCUGGGCUCUGAAAAGAUCAUUGUGCGGGGCCUGGCCUCGGGCCCCGGGCGGACAGAGCGCUAGUGUGAGACACCUUGAGCUGCCCCUCUGUGCGCGCGCGGCCAGCCCAAGGCCUGGUGGCCUUCUCCACGGACUGGCCAGCACAGCCACA